RNAcentral lists this ribosomal RNA (253 nucleotides) under uncultured bacterium. RNAcentral describes it as "partial 16S ribosomal RNA". It matches the Rfam family "Bacterial small subunit ribosomal RNA", at positions 524 to 776 of the family's 1533-position model. The record is from RNAcentral.
UACGUAUGUUGCAAGCGUUACUCGGAAUCACUGGGCGUAAAGCGUACGCAGGCGGACUUAUAAGUCAGAAGUGAAAUUUCAGGGCUCAACCCUGAACCUGCUUUUGAAACUGUAAGUCUUGAGUAUUAGAGGGGAAGAUGGAAUUCUUGGUGUAGCGGUGGAAUGCGUAGAUAUCAAGAAGAACACCGGUGGCGAAGGCGGUCUUCUGGCUAAAUACUGACGCUGAGGUGCGAAAGCGUGGGGAGCAAACAGG